This is a non-coding RNA of Styela clava, 197 nucleotides long. NCBI's taxonomy places the organism in Eukaryota, Metazoa, Chordata, Ascidiacea, Stolidobranchia, Styelidae. The record is from RefSeq and is a predicted model, not a curated record.
UCAUGAUAGCGCAGUUACUGAGUUCGAAAUGGUGUGCAACAAUAACUGGAAAGCACCUUUAGUCAUUACAUUCUUCCAGACGGGAAUGGCAAGUGGAUCUGUAGCGGGCAUGCUUGCUGAUAGGUAUGGUAGAAGGCCAGUGUACCUGCUCGCGACUUUGGCUCAGAUUGGAUCACUGGCGUUCAUAGCUGCUGCAU